This 6754-nucleotide long non-coding RNA is filed under the name Mytilus galloprovincialis (Mediterranean mussel). The record is from RNAcentral. Lineage: Eukaryota; Metazoa; Mollusca; Bivalvia; Mytilida; Mytilidae.
CUAGUAUUUCAUUCAACACUGAAAUUGUGGUUCACCUAACAUUUUGCCUCGGCUAUAUACACGAAAUUCAUAGAAAUUUGUAUCUUAGGAAUAAUGAUGAAUCUUAUUUUAAGCCCUUUUGUAAAGGCAUCCAUUAAACAUAAAGUAUAUUUGGUUAAGUGCAGUCCUACUCAGUGAGAUGGAUUUCCCUGGAAAUAAAUUGAUGUAAAUAAAAAGUUGAUAUUAAAAAUAAUUUAAAGGAGACAUAUAUUCGAUCUGAACCUAUUUUUACUACAAAAUCAUUAAUAAAUCAAAUGAAGGCGUAAUAUUGACAGGCAGUAAAAGUGUAAAGUCAACAAUAAAAAAAAAUGUUGUCAGAUUUAUACAAUAAUGAUUAAAUUUUGAAUAUUGAUUUAAUCAAUCACGUUAGGAAGGCAGUUAUACUCAUGAUUUAUGGUAUGUUUCAAAGGUUUGAUGGGUAUUGGUUAAACUUUGUUAUGAAUGAAAUUUUAAUGUGUGUUUGAGUGAGCAAUAUAUAUUUUUAUAACAGUAAGGUAGUCAAUUCUCUAACUGUGAUCAUGUUUAAUAUUUUAUGUAAUGUUCGUCAUCUUGUACGAUGUAUUGGUUACUUCUACAUCAAUGUGACUUGAUGGGUUCCGACAGGAAAAGAUGGCAAAUUUUAGCUGUGUUGUGAUCAAAGCAGGGUUGCGUUCAAUACCAUAGCAGCUACAUAGGGCUACAUAGAUGUAUGACUAUUGAAUAUGUAGCUAGCCUAGCUGCUACAUAGAUAUUGAUGGCAGCUAGGCUAGCUACACGUUCAAUAGUCAUAAAUCUAUGUAGCAUUAUUAAGCUGCUACAAUGUUGAAAGCAACCUAGCUCUAUUCGCAAAGGUUAAUAACUUGUUUAGAUAUUUAGCUCACAUGGACCAUGAGCUUCUACCAUCACUUGAUGUUUAUCAGGAGCAGAUCCAGCCAUUUUAAAAAGGGGGUUUCCAACCAUAUGUCUCUUAAAUGUACUGAUUGUCUAAAAAAAGGGGGGGUAUAACCCCCAGAACACCCUCCUGGAGUCUGUUUAACAAACAACUCUGCAACUGUUCAUUGUCCUCUUCCAUCUUUUUUUCUAUUCACAUCUCAUUCAUAGUUAACUUUUUUAAUGGGUCGCCUUUACAAUGAAACAUAAAAUAUUGCCUGUCACAGUCAGUAUACUAUAUAAGAUUGUUACAUUUCUUUUUAUCAGCCAAAUUGGAAUGGGAUUUUAUUAUCGAACAAGUGUCUACUUUCUCGCUUUUUGUCAGCAAAUGUGAAUAUCAUGCAUUGGUCGGACAGAUAUCUAUUCCAUCUAUAGACUUAACUUGAUUUAAUCUUCAACUGAAUAAGAGUUAUUGGCAUUUUCAUGUCGUUAGUUUUCUAUAAUAAAUUCACAUCAAAUAAUGCGGACUUUGACAGCUAUUUAUAAUUUACCAACCAGCUGUUUGGUAUAUUAUUGAUUUGUCAACUUUUGAUAAGUUCUUUGUCAAUAUUUACAACACAUUUAAUUCUGUGUAAUGAGCAAAGAAAGGUUUUAAGUGAAGACAAAUUAAUCUGAGACUUCAAAGUUAUUGCGUUAGUUUUAGGUUCAUUUCUCAGAAAUAAUUGAGAAGUUAUUGAAGACCCAGACUACCAUUUUUUAUUUGUUUUCAAAUGAAAGAGAGAAAACUUUAUUUUGUGAAAUAUAUAUUUAAAUACUCAUAUGAAUUCAACUAGUUGGACACAGUCUCCCUUUUGCAUUUGACAGUAAAUGAAUGGGUUCAGCAAUAGAUUAAAAGAAAUGGGGUGACGCUGGGAUCCAAAAUGUUUUGCAAAGGUGAUACCUGACUCUAAGGUUUUAUCAGGUCUUCAACUUUUGAAUUAAGUUUUGGACUUUCAACAAAUUUUGCUUCAAACAUGGAUUAAGAUACAUUAUUUGUUGAAAAUGUGCAUAUGGUGACGUAAAAUUGGUACCAUUAAUUUGACUGUGCCAGAAAUAAUACUGUGCCUGCAUUUGUAUUCAGCCCAUCAUGAGACAUUGUUGUAGCAUGUACCGUACAGUUAGGUUCAUUCCAGGUGUUUUGUAAAUAUUUUGUAGUAUAUUUAUGUUUUAGUUUCUUAUGUUUGUUUCAAACAGUUGUAUUUUUUGAUGAUUCUAUAUACUCACUUUUAUUUCGUCAUUGCCAGUUUUAUCAAAGUUCCAUAAUCUUGGAAAUUUUAGAAAGAAGCAUUUUUUUUUUACAAUAGGAAUAUCGAUGAUUGUUGUGUGAUGAAUUAAAUGUAAUUUUAUUCAUCCUUGAAUUUAAGUACUAAAUUAUCUUGUAAAAAAAUCAAUUAUAUUCUCACUUUAUACUCAUAAUUUGAAAUUGAUCUGAAUAAAUGAGAUGGACGAAAUGUAAGUAAAACAGUGGCAGCUGUAUAUAUUAUCAUGACGUCAAUUAUAGAAUUGACAAUUAAAGGGGGGAUAGACCUCGAAUAAAUCUUUAAAUACUCUUUUAAAUUAGGAAUGUGCUUGUCAUAGGCAAUUCUGUAUUGUUUAAAGACAAUGUAAAAGCCUUCAUAUGAAACGGAAUUCAAAAUAACGUAAGAGACUAGAAAAUUUUUGACAAGAGGGAUCUGAUAUGGUUCAGUGCAAACCUGAAAUAUAUACCAUACAUUUUUAUGCAUUUAUUUUGUGACAGAGUUUUUAAAAUGCUUUCACACAAAUUUUUAAAUGAGAUAAGCAUAAUAGUUUUAUUUUCUAGAAUAUAUGAAUGCUUUAGCGUAAGCAAAUCAUUUUAAAACUUGAAUAUAAUAAGUUGAAAGACAAUUUCAUGAUAUUGCAGUAUCAUUAAAAUCAAAUCAUAUCAAAUCAUUCUCAGUGGGACCAUACAUACUAUAUUGUUUUUAAAUUGGAGGUCAUUUCUUCGUUACUUUGGUAGUUUGAAACAAUGUCUUGAUUUGAAGAUUGUGUUAAAUUUAAAUGAUAUCAUCUACUUAUGUUUCAUAAAAUAUUUAUAGAUCUUUUAGCAAUAAUCACCUUGUUUAACUAUAACAGUAAACAAAAUUUUUAAAGAUUAUAAACUAAGGAAUUGUGUCUAUUGGUGGUUACUUUGCACAAUUUUUAGAACUUUAACAAAUAGAAUAAAUUUAAGAUCACAGUAAUGGAUUGAACAUCAUUUACUGCUAAUUACAUGCAAGACUUUAUCCAGCAUAUGAUAUAUGUGGAUGUACAUGUAUAUACCUUAAAAAAUCAUUUUGGUCAAAAUGCAUUAUCAGUUCCAACCGUGUUAAUUACAUCAAGACACAGUCAGGUCACAUUUUUGUACAAAAUGUUGUGUUUAAAGUGCUAAAAAAAAUAUUCAGGUUGUAAAAUUUCCAGAUGUAUUAAUUAUUGUUAGUAUGCAUAUUAUUUAAUAUUUAACAUUGAAGUACACAUUAUUUUUGUACUAAGAUUGUAUAAAAAAAGAAUAGUUAUUUUUGUGGAACAUGUACUUCUAAAUUCCUUGAAGAAAGACGAUCCUCUAUUAGCAUGGUUAGCUGAGGAACAGUAGCACUAAAGUCUUAUAAUAUUAUUUUUUUUUGGCUCGUUUAAUUUUCAUAAAAUUUUGACGAAGUAUUUACUUUGACCCUUUGACAAAAAUAUGAAAAUUUCAAAAAAUUUGAACCAACCAUUUUAUCAGAAAAAUAACACUAGUUAUAUAGCAGUUUGACAAACUCCUAUUUUGAUCGUUGAGAAGCUUAAUAUUCCCUUAACUACACAACGUAAUAAAAAAACGUUUAGCUGAUUUUAUAGAGUUAUCUCCCUGUAGUGUUAGGUACCACCUUAAAUGGUUUUGGAUUUCUAUUGCAGGUUGAAAAAAAUAACUUUUUUUAUAGAAUAUUAGAGGAAGAUUUGUGACUUGAAACAAUGUAUAUCAUAUUCAUAUUAUUUAAUUAUGUUGCCAUAGCAGUUUGGGAAAUCGCAGAAUUCUGCAAAUUACUUCUACAUAAGCUGAUGGCAUUAUAACGGAUAUAUUUUUUUUGACCUUAUUUUGGGUAAAGUUUUUGUCUAUAUUGGCAUAUAUAAAAAUGAAGUCAAAUGAAAAGAAUUAAAAAAAUAAAAAUUUUGAGCUGCAGAAAGUGACUUGUUAUGAAAAUUUGUCAGCAUUGUGAAUUCUGAGAUUUCUCAUACUGACAAGUUACAGGGUAAAAUUAUAAUCAUCAGGUGUAAGCUUGUCAUAUGAUAGCUAAAAAGGGAGUGCAUUUAAUAAUUUUUAUUAUGCCAAAUUUGAUACUUGUACACACAAAAAAAAACACGCUUUUUCUUGUCAAUAAGGAAACUGCAUAGUUAAACCCUAUCAAUUUUACCAGACAUUGGUUUGGUAUCCAUUACUGAACCAAAAAUGCUGUUUUUCAUGGUCCACAUUUUAAAAUAGUACCAAGAAUGCUUAUAUCUGGAAAAUUUCGGUCAAAUCUUUUUUUGAUAAAAAGAAAGUCCUCGUGGUUGUUGUUAAGAUAUACUGCUGAUUUGUAUUUGGUAGCUACAUGUGUAUAAGCCAUCCCUUUGUCUAACCUAGUUGCAUGGUAUUUUGAAUAUUUUUUUUUCUAUUCAAAAAGUCCCUUUAUAGUACUGUGAUUGUGGGGCACAACUGGUGCCCUUUGUCUUUAUAUGUUUUAGGAUGGGUAACAGAAAUAUCUUUCAAUUGUAAUAUACCUAACAUGCCUAACAAUACUCUUUCUUUCCACAAAUUUUAAGUUCUAGGCUUAGAUUUAUGAUUUAAAUACUUUGCCAUUUUUAUGAUGAAAAGUGAUAUUAUCAUCUCCAAAUUCUUACGAUCACAAUUGCUAUAUUUAAACUAAUGAAAAGGUAAAUUUAUUUAAACUGUGGAUCCCUUUACUUGUGUGUGUAACAAUUUCAGUGGAUUGGUGAAAACUCUAUUUUCAUGGAUAUUUGAUUUUAUGAUUUCUCCAAUUCUGCAACAAAAAUAGUUACCCCGUAAAUAAUAACAAAUCCAUAGUAUUAGAAUAAAUGUAUCACUUUUAAAACUGAACAAGUAAGAUGAAUAAUAAGUAAAUGUUGUGUUAAUCCUAUAACAUGUAUAAGUGCAGCUUGUACCAGAAAUCCAGUAGAAAGUACUUUCUCUCAGGAAUUUUUACUGGAACUGAUCAUAAGUGUUGAUAAAUGUAUAACUAGCCACAGUGUGUGUACCAACAUGUAUAACUAGCCACGGUGUGUUUACCAACAAUUUUAUUUCUUAGAUUAGACAUUCCAAUUAUUUUAGGGCUAUUCCAGAAAAAAAUGUAUGGGAGGGUUGGAAGGCAGUUUUUGUCAGCACCCACCACCCAGACAAUUGUAAUUGAGAAUUAUAGUGCAUUAUAGCGUAAAAAGUUGCUCUGAUACCCAUCACCCAUGUAUUAUUUUACAAAGUGCCUUCCAACCCCCCCAUACAUUUUUUUCUGGAAUAGCCCUUAUGUAACUUAUGAAUUAUAUUUGUAUAUUUCUGUUUUAAAGGUGUAUAUUUCUUUUAGCAGUGACAUCAAUCUAGCAGAAGGUUCAAUUUAGUAUAAUAGUAUGGGUGGAUUUUCAAAUUUAAGAGUACUGUGGAUUCAUUAUUAUUCGUUGUAUACCGAUUUUUCGUAAGUUUCUUGGGUACAGGUGAAUUAGGAAUUCAAAUGUUUAACGAAAUUCAAAUUUCUGUAAAGUUGUAUCCAUACUUGUCACAUAUCCACGAAAAUACAAGUUUUCUGCAAUCCACAAAAAUUGGUGCCCACGAAAAAUAACUGAAUCCACAUUAUAUGCUGUGACAUUAACUGUUGUAAAUAUAAAGCUUCAAUCCGCUUUGUUUAACCCAUAUUUAAAGCAAUUAAAUAACAUAUAGCAAAUUUUUCACAGACAACACUUUUUGUAUGUAUGAAGGGUCUUGACAUGUAGUUUAGCUGUGUAGAUUUAACAAUGAAAUUUUCAUACAAUUUUUGUUAAAAUUAGCAUUUUGCCAUUGAAAUAGUAUAUUAAGUCACAACAGACGACCUCAGAAUUGCUUCCGUAAUUAGUUACAUUCAACACAAAACUAUAUCAGGAUAUCAUUGAUAACUCCAAAAAUUGGUGCAUGUGGUGUAAACAGUCCUUCUGACCUCAUUCUUUUAAUUUCAUCCAAUAUUUGUGCAAUAAUUCAACUUACCGUGGAGUUUAAUGAACAUAAGAUAGAAAUAAUUUUAUUGUGAAAAUUCCCUUUUACAAAGAAUGGUUAUUUUUGGAAAUCAAUUAUUGUUGAUUUUCAUUUGCUAACCAUGCAAAUCCUAGUUAUGAAGACAAAAGAUUUACUAAAAUUUAGGCAUACAACAUUUUUUUUUCUUCCAUGAUAUUUUUAAUUUGCUUAAUAUUCAAUUUAUCUUUUAACCUGUGUUCACUUUUUCUGUGCAUUAUUUAUGGUUAAGUGUAAUAUAUUUAUUUAAUAUUGUAAUAUGUAACAUAUAUUUUAUUGGAGAGAGUGUUAAGCUUGUAUAUAUCUAGACUGAUUGAGGGCAUUAACUCAUUACGGAUUGUAUAUAUGGAAUGCAUUUUUUUCAAGGUCAUGAAUAAAUGUGUGUGAGUGAGAUACAUUUCAUCUUUUUAUGUGUAGUAUGAUAUAACUAUGACGAUAUGGAAAAAACAAAUUAAAAAAAUGAUACACAGUGAUUUUGUCUUAUUCAAUUGUAACACAUUUGUCUCUAGAAGAUGAUGAUGAUACACUGAUUAAAAUACCGAUCAUGUGCCGUUGCUUCACUUACAAGGAUCUGACAACAUUCUGUUCUACUUGCCGUUUUAAAAA